AACGCGAAGAACCUUACCCGGGCUUGAACUGCAGGAGAACGAUCCAGAGAUGGUGAGGCCCUUCGGGGCUCCUGUGGAGGUGCUGCAUGGUUGUCGUCAGCUCGUGCCGUGAGGUGUCGGCUUAAAUGCCAUAACGAGCGCAACCCCUGCAGUCAGUUGCCAUCAGGUGAUGCUGGGCACUCUGGCGAUACUGCCACCGUAAGGUGCGAGGAAGGUGGGGACGACGUCAAAUCAGCACGGCCCUUACGUCCGGGGCUACACACGUGUUACAAUGGGGUAUACAGAAGGCGGGAUCACGGCAACGUGUUUCAAAUCUUUAAAGUGCUCCUCAGUUCGGAUUGGGGUCUGCAACCCGACCCCAUGAAGCUGGAUUCGCUAGUAAUCGCGCAUCAGCCAUGGCGCGGUGAAUACGUUCCCGGGUCUUGUACACACCGA
Molecule: ribosomal RNA, 435 nt
Filed under: uncultured rumen bacterium
Lineage: Bacteria
Description: bacterial SSU rRNA
Rfam family: Bacterial small subunit ribosomal RNA
Source: RNAcentral